RNAcentral lists this ribosomal RNA (243 nucleotides) under uncultured bacterium. RNAcentral's name for it is "partial 16S ribosomal RNA". It matches the Rfam family "Bacterial small subunit ribosomal RNA", at positions 15 to 252 of the family's 1533-position model. The record is from RNAcentral.
GAUCCUGGCUCAGGAUGAACGCUAGCUACAGGCUUAACACAUGCAAGUCGAGGGGCAGCAUGAACUUAGCUUGCUAAGUUUGAUGGCGACCGGCGCACGGGUGAGUAACACGUAUCCAACCUGCCGAUGACUCGGGGAUAGCCUUUCGAAAGAAAGAUUAAUACCCGAUGGCAUAAUUCUUCCGCAUGGUAGAACUAUUAAAGAAUUUCGGUCAUCGAUGGGGAUGCGUUCCAUUAGGUUUGG